GCCCGUGUGGCUCAGGGGUAGAGCAAUGCACUCGUAAUGCAUGGGUCAGCGGUUCAAAUCCGCUCACGGGCU
This 72-nucleotide transfer RNA is filed under the name Aphanothece sacrum FPU1. It matches the Rfam family "tRNA". Rfam says of the family: Transfer RNA (tRNA) molecules are approximately 80 nucleotides in length. Their secondary structure includes four short double-helical elements and three loops (D, anti-codon, and T loops). Further hydrogen bonds mediate the characteristic L-shaped molecular structure. tRNAs have two regions of fundamental functional importance: the anti-codon, which is responsible for specific mRNA codon recognition, and the 3' end, to which the tRNAs corresponding amino acid is attached (by aminoacyl-tRNA synthetases). tRNAs cope with the degeneracy of the genetic code in two manners: having more than one tRNA (with a specific anti-codon) for a particular amino acid; and 'wobble' base-pairing, i.e. permitting non-standard base-pairing at the 3rd anti-codon position. Lineage: Bacteria; Bacillati; Cyanobacteriota; Cyanophyceae; Chroococcales; Aphanothecaceae. The record is from Rfam by way of RNAcentral. RNAcentral also lists the same sequence under 1 other name.